RNAcentral lists this ribosomal RNA (450 nucleotides) under uncultured bacterium. Its description in RNAcentral is "bacterial SSU rRNA". It matches the Rfam family "Bacterial small subunit ribosomal RNA", at positions 29 to 525 of the family's 1533-position model. The record is from RNAcentral.
AACGAACGCUGGCGGCAGGCUUAAGACAUGCAAGUCGAACGCCCACUUCGGUGGGAGUGGCAGACGGGUGAGUAACGCGUGGGAACCUACCUUUAGGUACGGAAUAACAGUUAGAAAUGACUGCUAAUACCGUAUGUGCCCGAGAGGGGAAAGAUUUAUCGCCUUUAGAUGGGCCCGCGUUGGAUUAGUUAGUUGGUGAGGUAACGGCUCACCAAGACGACGAUCUAUAGCUGGUUUGAGAGGAUGAUCAGCCACACUGGGACUGAGACACGGCCCAGACUCCUACGGGAGGCAGCAGUCGGGAAUAUUGGACAAUGGGGAAACCCUGAUCCAGCCAUGCCGCGUGAGUGAUGAAGGCCUUAGGGUUGUAAAGCUCUUUCGCUGGGGAAGAUAAUGACGGUACCCAGUAAAGAAGCCCCGGCUAACUUCGUGCCAGCCGCCGCGGUAAUC